AGUGAACGCUGGCGGUAGGCCUAACACAUGCAAGUCGAACGGCAGCACAGUAAGAGCUUGCUCUUACGGGUGGCGAGUGGCGGACGGGUGAGGAAUACAUCGGAAUCUACUUUUUCGUGGGGGAUAACGUAGGGAAACUUACGCUAAUACCGCAUACGACCUACGGGUGAAAGCAGGGGAUCUUCGGACCUUGCGCGAUUGAAUGAGCCGCUGUCGGAUUAGCUAGUUGGCGGGGUAAAGGCCCACCAAGGCGACGAUCCGUAGCUGGUCUGAGAGGAUGAUCAGCCACACUGGAGCUGAGACACGGUCCAGACGCCUACGGGAGGCAGCAGUGGGGAAUAGUGGACAAUGGGCGCAAGCCUGAUCCAGCCAUACCGCGUGGGUGAAGAAGGCCUUCGGGUUGUAAAGCCCUUUUGUGGGGAAAGAAGAGCAGCAGGUUAAUACCCCGCUGUUCUGACGGUACCCAAAGAAUAAGCACCGGCUAACUUCGUG
RNAcentral lists this ribosomal RNA (492 nucleotides) under uncultured bacterium. Its description in RNAcentral is "partial 16S ribosomal RNA". It matches the Rfam family "Bacterial small subunit ribosomal RNA", at positions 29 to 507 of the family's 1533-position model. The record is from RNAcentral.